RNAcentral lists this ribosomal RNA (795 nucleotides) under Triticum aestivum (bread wheat). Its description in RNAcentral is "partial small subunit ribosomal RNA". Lineage: Eukaryota; Viridiplantae; Streptophyta; Magnoliopsida; Poales; Poaceae. The record is from RNAcentral.
AUGGCUAUGGAGGUUCUGUACCCGUUCUUCCUCUGCCUCGCCGUGCUCACCGGCAGAGCAGUCUCCGCCCCACCACACUCGCAGUGCCACGACAACCCGCCGGACAUGACGGCCGCCAGGGUCGAGGCGGGAAAGGUCGUCCAUGACUUUGCUGGCUACACGGCUUACGUUACCGGCGCCAUCCACUCCGACCGGGCCGUCGUCCUGGCCUCCGACGUCUACGGAUUCGAAGCGCCGUUGCUGAGGAAGAUAGCAGACAAAAUUGGUGAAGCUGGAUACUAUGUCGUGGUCCCUGAUUUCUUUAAUGGGCAACCUUUAACGGGGGCACCAGGUGAAAACCUCACACAAUGGCUCAGUGAGCACUCUCCGGUAAAAGCUGCUCAAGAUGCUAAACCAAUAUUUGCAACCUUGAGAAAAGAGCGAAAAUUUAGUCUUGGAGUUGGAGGAUACUGUUGGGGUGGAAAGUUCGCAGUGGAGGUAGCGAAAAUGAAUGAGGUGAAGGCAGUUGUCAUCUCCCAUCCUUACUCAGUCAUUGUCGGUGAUAUGAGAGAGGUCAAGUGUCCCAUUGAAAUCCUUGGAGGCGAAUAUGACCAAGCUACACCACAAAAGUUCAUAUAUCAGUUUUUGAAUGCCCUUCGCAAAAGAAGUGACAAGAUACCUUACUUCGGGAAGAUCUUUCCAGGAGUUUGCCAUGGCUUUGCUUGUAGAUACAAUGUCACCAACCCAUUCGAAGUCGAAACCGGUGAACAAGCUCUUGCCCUAAUGGUUGGAUGGUUCGAGAAACAUCUGAAAUGA